CCUACGGGAGGCAGCAGUGGGGAAUAUUGGACAAUGGGGGGAACCCUGAUCCAGCGACGCCGCGUGAGUGAAGAAGGAUUUCGGUAUGUAAAGCUCUAUCAGCAGGGAAGAAAAUGACGGUACCUGACUAAGAAGCCCCGGCUAACUACGUGCCAGCAGCAGCGGUAAUACGUAGGGGGCAAGCGUUAUCCGGAAUUACUGGGUGUAAAGGGAGCGUAGUCGGUGCAGCAAGUCUGAUGUGAAAGGUCGGGGCCCAACCCCAGGACUGCAUUUGAAACUGUUGAACUGGAGUACAGGAGAGGUAAGCGGAAUUCCUAGUGUAGCGGUGAAAUGCAUAGAUAUUAGGAGGAACACCAGUGGCGAAGGCGGCUUACUGGACUGUAACUGACGUUGAGGCUCGAAAGCGUGGGGAGCGAACAGGAUUAGAUACCCGAGUAGUC
RNAcentral lists this ribosomal RNA (440 nucleotides) under uncultured bacterium. RNAcentral's name for it is "partial 16S ribosomal RNA". It matches the Rfam family "Bacterial small subunit ribosomal RNA", at positions 338 to 795 of the family's 1533-position model. The record is from RNAcentral.